GAGUUGAGGCUUAGUGGUAGAGCCCUCGCCUAGGAUGUGUGGGGCCCUGGGUUUGAUCCUCAGCACCACA
Molecule: transfer RNA, 70 nt
Filed under: Marmota monax (woodchuck)
Lineage: Eukaryota; Metazoa; Chordata; Mammalia; Rodentia; Sciuridae
Description: tRNA.Pro
Source: RNAcentral